CAGCCGCCGCGGUAAAACGGAGGGAGCUAGCGUUGUUCGGAAUCACUGGGCGUAAAGCGCACGUAGGCGGCUAUUCAAGUCAGAGGUGAAAUCCCGGGGCUUAACCUCGGAACUGCCUUUGAAACUAGGUAGCUAGAAUCUUGGAGAGGCGAGUGGAAUUCCGAGUGUAGAGGUGAAAUUCGUAGAUAUUCGGAAGAACACCAGUGGCGAAGGCGACUCGCUGGACAAGUAUUGACGCUGAGGUGCGAAAGCGUGGGGAGCAAACAGGAUUAGAUACCCCUGUAGUCCCUGUCUCUUAUAC
Molecule: ribosomal RNA, 301 nt
Filed under: uncultured bacterium
Lineage: Bacteria
Description: partial 16S ribosomal RNA
Rfam family: Bacterial small subunit ribosomal RNA
Source: RNAcentral